GUGCUUCCAUUUGUUUUAUCAUUUUUGGAGCCUUGCUAGCCUUCCUGCUGAGGGUGGUUUGAAGACCAGAGGUUUGAGCAAGGAGAGCUGCAGAGGUAAGGCGCCAUAAGCCAUGAGACGCACCUGUUCCAGCAAAGAGAUGCGGGCACAGGUAGACCACCCCUCUUUGCCACCAUGGAUGCGAUGGAGGCUGACACCACCAAGAUUGUGGAAACCUGGAACCAAAGGAUCCCCUAAAUAAACUGGCAUCAGAUGGAAGGUGUAACUCGCUUCGGUGCACCAGGAAGAGGUCAAGGCUCCAAGCUGCCGUGAAACCACGUAAAAGUUACCAUCCUGAAUUGCUACAAAAAUUUUUGCACCACAGAGAUUCCGAUUUACAUUGUAUGUUAACAUACCUAAAAAUCCUCAAGUUUAUAUAUAACCCCUCUCCAAGUCAGGCUCACCUUUUAUAACAAUACCAAACUCUAUCAUAGAUUUUAUCUCCUUUGGAUUUCUACUUAUACCCCCCCACCCCUUUGAAGCUCCCCU
Molecule: long non-coding RNA, 528 nt
Filed under: Equus caballus (horse)
Lineage: Eukaryota; Metazoa; Chordata; Mammalia; Perissodactyla; Equidae
Description: lncRNA (ENSECAG00000044969.1)
Source: RNAcentral